GGUGGGGUGGCCGAGUGGCUAAUGGCAGCAGACUGUAAAUCUGCCGGGUUUACGCCCUACGUAGGUUCGAAUCCUACCCCCACCA
RNAcentral lists this transfer RNA (85 nucleotides) under Gemmatimonadota bacterium. RNAcentral's name for it is "Gemmatimonadetes bacterium (activated sludge metagenome) tRNA-Tyr". It matches the Rfam family "tRNA". From Rfam's summary of the family: Transfer RNA (tRNA) molecules are approximately 80 nucleotides in length. Their secondary structure includes four short double-helical elements and three loops (D, anti-codon, and T loops). Lineage: Bacteria; Pseudomonadati; Gemmatimonadota. The record is from RNAcentral. RNAcentral also lists the same sequence under 3 other names.